Salvelinus fontinalis (brook trout) is the source of this 3988-nucleotide long non-coding RNA. RefSeq lists it as uncharacterized. Lineage: Eukaryota; Metazoa; Chordata; Actinopteri; Salmoniformes; Salmonidae. The transcript is spliced from 4 exons. The record is from RefSeq and is a predicted model, not a curated record.
UCUUAUCAGCUGAACUAAUUGAAAUAUGUACCGCCUAAAACUAUCACCACAUGUUUAUAAACCGUAAACUAGCUAGCUCAAGCAGAACAUACGACCAAAGAUACUGGUAACCUUUCAUCUGUGGUGCAACUUUUGGCUAGCAAGCGACUUAGCAGCAUGCCGGCAAAAGCACAUUUUGUUGUGACGAGAUGCCAUCGAGUAAAUUUAACGGUACACUAUUUUAUGUAGAAUGAAAAGCUUGACAGCAGUGGCUGCUUUUCAUUUUGGGUGGACAGGCUGCACCGAAAAAUAACGAUCAUGUCAAACGUGUGCAGGAUCACAUUUCGAGCAAAGUGGCUCUAUCAACUGAGAACAUGCGAUGGGUCUUGCCAGGAUGCUAAUCCUGAAUACGGAUGCUGUACCAUCAUUGACGAUGGAUUUUGCAAGCGAUGACCUUAAUCUUCCCAGGCAACCACAUCCACCCAAACUGUGGGUGUCGGCACCACCAUGCUCGAGUCACCUGUCGAAGACAGAACAUCCCAACCUGCACCUGCAAAACGGUCACGGAUGGAGUCCUGUUUGGAUGAAAGCCUCUAUCAACUUGUUAAGGGCUAAGUGGAAGCAUUAGGGAGUGAAUUGGGACUGGUUGUGACACUGCUCUGAAUGUCUCUACACCUCACUCCACUAGAUAUAAAAUACUUACUUACUCCCAUCCAUGUGUCCUCAGCUCCUCUUCUCAAUAUCAUUGCUCCUUGGAGGAGGAGAUCUAAGUGGAUAGACCUUUGAUCCCCUCCUCCGUCAUGCUUGGAGAGGUUGUCCAUAAAAGGGACCACAGUGACGGGAGGAAGCAAAGAUUUGAUAGAGAGUUACUCUAAUCAUUUCUGAUAUGACCUUUUACUGCGGGGCUGUUGUCUGCACUCAUACUGACAGAAUGUAGAUUCAUCCACAAAACAUUAUUUCCAUGAUUGAUAACUGGGAUAAAGUAGCCUAAAGAUGAUCAUAAUUUGAAAUGGAUUUUGAGUCUGGAUACUUUUUUGAGUGUUGGGAGAUUUAUUGAGUCAUACCUGUGUGUGUGUGUGUGUGGAUAUUCCAUGGAGGACAUUCCAAAAUACAUUGUGUAUGAGGAUUGCCCGUUGGAACUUGUCCAGGACUACCCCAUCUGCAGAAGGGUGCACAGUGUCACAUGAUUCAUGAGGACGACAUUCUUGUCUGCUCAUUUUUUCAGACAGUGGAAGAGCCAGCCUCUCAUUGGUAGCAUCCCAGCUGGUAGCAUCCCACCCAGAUGGGUCAUCUUUUAUCCAGACAAAGGCAAGUUAAAUGCACAUACUGGGAUAUAUUCUGCUGUUCAAUUGCCAUUCCAGUUCAAAACCAUGUACUCAACCAUAAUGUCUUUACAGAUGCUGACAGCUGUGCGUGUGAGGAUGAUUUGCAGCUACCAUCAUUUGUAUUUAUCACAGAGCAUGCAUAGCUGAUUCGGUCCAUGACACAGAGGGAGGGAGGAGUUGCCACUGAAGUAGACAUGAUGGCAGAAUCCCCAGUCCGCUCGGGUAGGGGAUGCAUAACCCCAAGAUUGCUCUUCGUCUUAUGAGCAAUAAGAUUGUCCAAUGUGAGGGUCGCAUCUAUGAUCACGGAUCGGUAUCCCCAGAUCCAGGAAUUCCUCAGAGAGGUGUAUCCUGAGAUCAUCCACUUCUAUGAUCCCUGGCAUGUGACAAAAGGUAUCUCAGGGAAAGUGGAGGUAGUAGCCAAGGACAAGGAAUGUCUGAAGGGGAAAAAAUGGGUGCAGAGCAUCACCAACCACCUCUACUGGUCGACGAGUCCUGGAGCAAGUGAGGAAGAGAGGUUGGCCAGGUGGACAUCGCUUUUCAAUCACCUGCAGAAUGUCCACACACAUGACAAUCCUCUCUUCCCUAAGUGCCUCCAUGCUCCAGAAGCACCAACAAAUGGCUGAUACAGUAUGUACCGUAAUACAAGAAAUUAUCAUCAAAUCUGUGUGACUUUUUGAGAUAUUUAAUACCACUCACUAACUACCACUUUUCUAGCAACCAAACCAAGCUGAUUACAAGCUGGAGAAGCAGCUGCUCAACAAGCAUUUACUGAAGGAUGUGGCCAAACUGAGCCCUGUCCACCAGACUUCUGCCCUGGAAAGCUUCCACAGCCUUAUUCUUAGGUUUACGCCCAAGAAAGUUUUUUUUUUCAUGCGUUGGAAUGCUGUGCAGGUAUAUUACGUCACAAAAAACGUGUUUUUUAACAUCUGUAAUGAGCAGUGACUACAGUAGUAUCCUUUUCCGUAAACAAACCCUUAUAAUUUUAGGCUAUACCUAGCAUCUAUGCGUUUCAAUGAGAACACCAACCGCAGGCAGGUACAAAAUGAGCUUACCCAAGGCUGUGAACACAGACCCAACAUAGUGGAAGUCAUAGUUAUUCAUUUCAAAAAUGCAUCAACUGAGCAUUUCAAGUACACAAAAAUGUGAAGUACAAACAUUGAGAAGUUUCACGACCAAAAAAGUACACAACCAAAUAUUGCAUAUUUCAAAUUGAGUACUUAUGAAACGCCAGAAAACACAUUGUAGAAUGAGUAGAUCACUAUGAAUUGAUAGCAUCAUAACUCAGAACUAAUAAAAUGUACUACACCUUUAACAAACAUUUCCCUUUUCAAAAACAUGACAUGCUACGUAUUGAGAUGAUAAAUUCCCCUACGUUGAUGACAUUUUGCAAAUUCAAUCAGUUUCCCCACGUUGAUUCAAUGUCAUGGCAAAGAUUUUUUUUGUUGUUGAAAUGAUGUGGAAGCAAUGUUGAUUCAACCAUUUCCCCCCCAGUGGGUAGCAUGACAUUCCCCUGAGCUACAUACCUUUUUUUUUCAUGUAAUGUAUAUCUGACUUUGACAUCCAUUUGGAUAUAACGAGUCGCAAAGAGCAAAGCACGAUAUCCAUUCCUGAUGUGAGAAUGACCCAAUAACUAUUUAAAGUCCCUUGUUUAAUGGUAAACCAUGGGCCCUGUCAUUCCAAUCCUAAAUAGUAUGCCUCAACCCAUUUUCUCAGCAAAAUGCUCUCACGGUCAACAGAGCUGAUCAUGGACUGUUGGAACAGCAGAAAUACACCAUUGAAUUCCUAUUGUUUUGUAACUAUUUACAGAAUACAGUUCACCUACACACUUCUUCACACUAAUUAGUAAAGCCUGAGUUACCUUGGAAGUUUAAACAUUUAUUUUAUUUAACUAGGCAAGUCAGUUAAGAACAAAUUCCUAUUUACAAUGGAGGCCUAACCCGGUCAAACCCUAACCCGGACGACACUGGGCCAAUUGUGCUCCGCUCUAUGGGACUCCCAAUCACGGCCAGUUGUAAUACAGCCUGGAAUCGAACCAGGGUCUGUAGUGACACCUCUAGCACUGAGAUGCAGUGCCUUAGACCCACUGCGCCACUCGGGAGCCUACAAAAAAUAUAGAGCUUCCCCGCAUAAGGGAAUGUACAUGAAAACAGAAUGCAAUAAGUGUACUGGACAAUGUAUUGGUGCCUCUGCAUUAGCAUUGUAAAUGACAAUAUGAUCUGAAUUUGAUGUAUCGAUCAACAUGAACAUUCAUGUCAAAUAAAGGCGAGAAAUAAUGGGGAGACAUCAUUUGACAUAAUAAUUAGAUCCAUAAGCCUAAUCUAGGCUGCCCUACAGUGUGCAGGACCCACUGAUUCGUACAAUUUGUGGCACUCAUUUCCCUCCCGAAAUCUUGAAUAAAACAAUACAAAGUAACAAAAUGUGAUAUCAUAUCACGUAAAAGUGAAUUACGUAGGCUUUAGGAAAUGCAACCAACUACAAAGAUUGAUGGGGAGGGGAGCGAGAGAGGAGCGGGACCCGUGUAACCCGGUUCAAUUAAGUAGGCUUCAGUCACCCACUUAGCUUCAAGAUUGAAGUGGGAGACAAUUCCAGCUAUGGCCUCCUCCUUGUCAGGCCUCUCACACCGGGCAGACAGGGGUCCUGGGAAGGGCCGCGCACACAGCUUCCCCUCAUACGGCCGUGGAUCA